AUGCUUAACACAUGCAAGUCGACUGGAAUUCUUCUUCGGAAGAUAGUACGGUGGCGGACGGGUGAGUAACGCGUAAAGAAUUUGCCCUUCAGACUGGGACAACUAAUCGAAAGGUUAGCUAAUACCGGAUAUUAUGAGACCUUGGCAUCAAGGACUUAUGAAAGCUAUAUGCGCUGGAGGAGAACUUUGCGUUCCAUUAGCUAGUUGGUAGGGUAAUGGCCUACCAAGGCGACGAUGGAUAGCCGGCCUGAGAGGGUGAACGGCCACAAGGGGACUGAGACACGGCCCUUACUCCUACGGGAGGCAGCAGUGGGGAAUAUUGGACAAUGGACCAAAAGUCUGAUCCAGCAAUUCUGUGUGCACGAUGAAGGUCUUCGGAUUGUAAAGUGCUUUCAGGUGGGAAGAAGAAAGUGACGGUACCACCAGAAGAAGCGACGGCUAAAUACGUGCCAGCAGCCGCGGUAAUACGUAUGUCGCAAGCGUUAUCCGGAAUUAUUGGGCGUAAAGCGAGUCUAGGCGGCUUGUUAAGUCAG
This 533-nucleotide ribosomal RNA is filed under the name uncultured Psychrilyobacter sp. RNAcentral describes it as "bacterial SSU rRNA". It matches the Rfam family "Bacterial small subunit ribosomal RNA", at positions 44 to 591 of the family's 1533-position model. Lineage: Bacteria; Fusobacteriati; Fusobacteriota; Fusobacteriia; Fusobacteriales; Fusobacteriaceae. The record is from RNAcentral.